GGAAUAUUGGACAAUGGGCGAAAGCCUGAUCCAGCAACGCCGCGUGGAGGACGAAGGCCCUCGGGUUGUAAACCCCUGUCAGGGGGGACGAAUGGGCGUCGGUCAAUAUCCGGCGCCUAUGACGGUACCACCGGAGGAAGCCCCGGCUCACCCCGUCCCAGCACCCGCGGUAAUACGGAGGGGGCGAGCGUUAUUCGGAAUUAUUGGGCGUAAAGGGCGCGUAGGCGGCUUGGCAAGUCAGGGGUGAAAUCCCUCGGCUCAACCGAGGAAUUGCCUCUGAAACUGUCUGGCUUGAGGCCGGGAGAGGGUAGUGGAAUUCCCAGUGUAGCGGUGAAAUGCGUAGACAUUGGGAGGAACACCGGUGGCGAAAGCGGCUACCUGGACCGGUUCUGACGCUGAGGCGCGAAAGUGUGGGGAGCAAA
This 422-nucleotide ribosomal RNA is filed under the name uncultured bacterium. Its description in RNAcentral is "bacterial SSU rRNA". It matches the Rfam family "Bacterial small subunit ribosomal RNA", at positions 358 to 772 of the family's 1533-position model. The record is from RNAcentral.